AUGCUGAGCGAAAAUAAAAGCAUAUCUAUACUGCUACAAUAUAUAAACCGCAUCAAUUUCCAUGGGAAAAUUGGCACUGUUGAUCUGCAAUGCCAAAUUCAAGGGUAAUUUUGUGAAUGUGGGGUGUUUGGAGGCUGUUGCUAGAUCAUGAAGGAAAGGUUGGAGUGAAAGAAAGUGUAUAAAUGAAUAUCAGUUUUGGGAAAACAUUUUGACUUGAGGUGGAAGUGGCAGCAUGAACAAUUGAUGCUGAAUUCACGAUUUCCUGAUGAUGGAAAGCACUUGGAAGACCAUUGUGAUCCUACCUUGCUAGAAAUUCAAGUGGUGGUUGGUGGUGGGCCAAGAAAGAGUCUACUGAGAAGUCAGUGGCGCUGAAAUUCUCUAAGGUACUCAGAUUUAGCUUUGGAAGCUGCUUCAACAUUUGUAUGUUCAUAUCCAUCUCUAUGAAAGGCUGAGAAAGUCUUAGCCUCUGUAAAUAUUCUGUAAACUCGGCCAUGAAGAAUAUUUUCAGGUGGAGUACUUUUUAGAGACUCUUAAUGGAAAAGGUAGGAAUUGAGAGUAACAUCUAUAAGGUACAAACAAAAUGUGUAUUAUUAGAAGAGUUUAAUUAGUAUUAUUGAUUAACAAAUAGUACCUUGAAUAUUUCCUAUAUGAAAAUGUGGGUGUCACUGAAAUUGUGUUAUGCUUUAAA
This is a long non-coding RNA of Hevea brasiliensis (rubber tree), 688 nucleotides long. RefSeq lists it as uncharacterized. The record is from RefSeq and is a predicted model, not a curated record. NCBI's taxonomy places the organism in Eukaryota, Viridiplantae, Streptophyta, Magnoliopsida, Malpighiales, Euphorbiaceae. The transcript has 2 exons.